UACGUAGGGGGCAAGCGUUGUCCGGAAUCAUUGGGCGUAAAGCGCGUGUAGGCGGUCCGGUAAGUCCGCUGUGAAAGUCGGGGGCUCAACCCUCGGAUGCCGGUGGAUACUGUCGGGCUUGAGUACGGAAGAGGCGAGUGGAAUUCCUGGUGUAGCGGUGAAAUGCGCAGAUAUCAGGAGGAACACCAAUUGCGAAGGCGGCUCGCUGGGACGUUACUGACGCUGAGACGCGAAAGCGUGGGGAGCAAACAGG
RNAcentral lists this ribosomal RNA (253 nucleotides) under uncultured bacterium. RNAcentral's name for it is "partial 16S ribosomal RNA". It matches the Rfam family "Bacterial small subunit ribosomal RNA", at positions 524 to 776 of the family's 1533-position model. The record is from RNAcentral.